GGGGCUGUGGCGCAGCGGUAGCGCGUCUCGAUGGCAUCGAGAAGGCCGGGGGUUCAAUCCCCCCCAGCUCCA
Molecule: transfer RNA, 72 nt
Filed under: Candidatus Desantisbacteria bacterium CG1_02_49_89
Lineage: Bacteria; Candidatus Desantisiibacteriota
Also listed under: 2 other names
Description: tRNA-Ala
Rfam family: tRNA
About the family: Transfer RNA (tRNA) molecules are approximately 80 nucleotides in length.
Source: RNAcentral